AUUUAGCGGAUUUUUUUUCCUUCCAAAUAUUUUCUUUUUUUUCUUCUCUGGUGGGGCUACCCGACUCGACUACGCUACACUUCCGGUGAAUAAGGUCAAUAUGCAAAACAGGAUAGCUACUUCCGAGCUGAGACGUGUGCAGUUAGGUGACCUGCCUGGCCCUUGAUGUGAGUGCUGCCCCUGCAAUGCACUGGAUUUCUGCCUAGGAUGGCCCCCUCCUCGUCUUCAUACACCUCAGGCAUGAAGCAUCGCCAUCCUACAGAGAGCAACCCCCACCUCCAGAGACCCAGCAUACCCCCACCACCACCUGUUCACCCUACAGGACUAUUUACCCCCAGGCUGAGAAGUAGCUUCUGCCCCAAAGCCAUCAGUCACUUCAACCAAGCAGGGAACAGCAAACUCAAAUAACCCCCCAACACCCCCAGGAGCAGUACGUACGCACCCGUCUGCAAACCUGCCCCUCCCCGACUACUGAUUGUUUAUGGUGCUGCUAAUUCUAAACCACAUGACUGUUGCCAAUUAAAAAAAAAAACUGUCUAAUGCUGCUGAAAGAUAUGAUUGCAUUUUGAUUUACCAUUCAGCUUUGUGCUGUACAUCUAUACUGUACAUAUCUUCAGAUUUACUUUCCCGUUUUUUAUUUGUCUCUUAAAGCUUUGAUAGGAGGCACACAGUUUUGUUAUACAUGUACAGUGAUAUUAAAGAUAUUCUAAGUAUGCUCA
Molecule: long non-coding RNA, 719 nt
Organism: Paramormyrops kingsleyae
Lineage: Eukaryota; Metazoa; Chordata; Actinopteri; Osteoglossiformes; Mormyridae
Source: RefSeq, a predicted model, not a curated record